UAGGAAUUGGAAUAAGGGGUAGUAAGAGGAGCUCUUAAAACCUAAAAUUUUUGGCGGUUUUUUAGUCUGAUUAGAGGAAUCUGUUCUGUGAUAGAUGUUCCGCUUUAAUUUUAACUUUGGGGUUAAGUUUAUAUAUCGCCGUCGGAAAGUGAAUUUUUUAGAUUUCAUUUAGGAACCUAUUGAGAUUAAUUCUUGGUGAGGGAAGAUGUCAGGUCAAGGUGUAGCUAGUACUAGAGGGUGAGAUGGAUUACAGUCUUAAAUUAGGGUGGAUAGUGAUAAGAAAUUGUCAUUUGAAAGUGGAUUUAUGAGUAAUUUUUUAAUUAAAAUUGGUAUAUGAAUGUAGCUCUAAAGAAUGU
RNAcentral lists this ribosomal RNA (356 nucleotides) under Paraphrynus cubensis. Its description in RNAcentral is "partial small subunit ribosomal RNA". The record is from RNAcentral. Lineage: Eukaryota; Metazoa; Arthropoda; Arachnida; Amblypygi; Phrynidae.